UGUAGCCAGAAAAAGUGGUGAAUCUGAGGUUUUAAAAUAGAGCUCUAUUUCUAAACAUUCUAUGCUCCAGGAAACUAUUGGAGAAACUAGGAAACGGUUCUAGGGCUGGAUUUGAGAAUCCCAUAUGCACGAUUGCAGCACACCAGGGCAUUCCAUGAUCCAACAGCCUUCUCUCCUUCCUGCCUCCACUGAUGCCAACGUGCAGUAACUGCUCAUUAGCAAAGAAACAGGAAGAGGAGGCAAGACCUGCCUCUUUAACCACGUGAAGACACAGGGGAAGGAAGCUGGUGGCCAGCCAGGAAGCGAGCCCCUAUCAGGAAACAAAUCAGUUGGCACUUUGAUUGUGGAAUGCUCAGCCUCCCAAGCGAGAGAAAUUAAAGUCUGCUUUUUAAGCCACUCCAUCUGAUGUUUUGUUAUUACCACCCAAAUUGAUUAAGACCAUGGUCCUCUUCAUUCCUCAUCUGUGCCCAUUUCUUCCUCAGUGUUACACUAGUAAUUAAGAAUACACCUACUUUCUACCUCUCCAUCACUCUGCACACAAGCUGGGCUGUGUAUCAGGGGGCGGAGCCUCUGCUUCCAUGAGCGAUUACAGCUGAUUCUCCAAUUAAUUAUGCAGCAGCCUCUUUGGCUAAUAAAAUCUAAACAAAGAGCUUUUAAUCCAAUACAUCAUUUUUUCUCCAUCCCAAGCAGCCUGUCAAACACAAUCAGAUUCCGCAUGCGAAGCAGAGAGGAGGCAGGCGUCGGCCCCACCUGCUUAGCAGGGUUGUGAGCAGGAAGCUCCGAGUCAGAGAACAGUUGGCUGCACAGAUGGCUGUGAUGGAAGGCUUGGGGGAAUGCCACCCUCUGCUGCAGCAACCCACAGGGGAGGGACCAUUUGGGGGUGGCUGGCAGAGAGACUCUUCCCUGUGCCUCUCACCUAGGCCCCACCAGUGGGUGAGAACUCAAAAAAAGUGGCCUAAAUGUUUACAAAGGGACUCCUAUGUGAUUGACACUUGACAUAUCCAACCUCUACUAAAAAAAAUCAUUAGAAUGGAAACUGGAUUCCCUAUUUUACAAGUAAAAAGAAAGAAGACCUAACAUGUAAAGUAAGUUACUUACGGUGGCACAGCUAGCAAGCAGAACUGUGGAGAUUUGAAUUCCUGUCUUCCAG
This 1150-nucleotide long non-coding RNA is filed under the name Heterocephalus glaber (naked mole-rat). RNAcentral describes it as "lncRNA (ENSHGLG00100041378.1)". The record is from RNAcentral. Lineage: Eukaryota; Metazoa; Chordata; Mammalia; Rodentia; Bathyergidae.